This 2512-nucleotide long non-coding RNA is filed under the name Homo sapiens (human). RNAcentral describes it as "HSALNT0106625". Lineage: Eukaryota; Metazoa; Chordata; Mammalia; Primates; Hominidae. The record is from RNAcentral.
UUUUAUAAGAGAGGGCCUGGAGAGCUCCUUCUCCUCUCCCACCAUGUGAGGAGGACACAGAGAGAAGGCACUGACUGUGAACCAGGAAGGGGGCCCUCACCAGACACCAGAUCUGCUGCUGACUUGAUCUUGGACGUUCCAGCCUCCAGAACUAUAAUGUUCUGAUUUCCAGAGAGCUGACAGCUGGGAUGAACGGCCGCUUAACCUGAUUAGAUAUGCCUCAGCCACAGACUCUGGGGCCACAGACAACUGCUCAUUUGAGAUGCAUGCCACUGGCACCCGUCUGAAAGAAUAAAGGCCAGCCUCAAACAGACAACACAUUCUUGGAUGGAAACCUUAUGGUUUCUACACAGCAAAAAAGGUUUAUAACUCCCUGGGGUUCCUUUUCACUGAAUAUUCUUUGUUGAAGAGUGUUUAGAACAAACUUGUAACUUUAGCACUUUGCUGUAAUUGCACCUUGUCAUUUAUGACCCAGUGGUAUGUGGUGGAACCCCAGGGGGGAAAAGGGGGGACCAAAGGGCUACUGAUUUCCUGCAUUGAAUCUAUUCUGUCUUCCCUGACACCCUGGGCAGUAGCUCCUGACCUUUCUCCUCAGGACCCAAAUGUAGUCAGCAGGCCCUGAUCCUCCUUGCUCCUCCCUGCUCCUCCCUGCUCCUCCCUGCUGGGUGUCAGGACUGCAGAGCGUCUCUUUUCCCACCAGCUCAUUUGCUGCCCAGAGGAUGCUUCCUUGUUGAUGCGCCAAGCCCCCUGCUCUGCCAUGGUUUUUAGCUGUGGUUCUUAGUACCAUGAGGCCUCCCGUACAUCUCCAGGAGUCUUGUCAGCACCCUGUAGGAGGAUGGUGGAAGGGCCAGAGGGGCUUCUUCCAAACACCCCCGCCCCUCACCACCCAUCAUCUGAAAUGCCAGCAAUCCUCAGCCUCAGUGAGCCUCCAGUUAUAUCACUAACCUUGAGGUACUUUUAAAUGUAAAGCACAAACUAUUAUGGUGUGAGCACAUACUAUUGAGAACAACACCUUUAGAGUUCUCUCCUAGAAGGGGAGAGGAGCACAUUGCUCCCAAAGGAGCAGCAGGGAAUCCAUUCCUUCACAACCCACACAUUGGAACCAAGUGCUGAGCCAUCAGUCGUCCUUAUACAUUUCCCCCCCUUGUUUUUUCAAAAACUGGAACCUACUCAAAUACUAACUAUAAACUACAAAUCUUAAAUCCUCCUGUUCAUUUUUCUCCAAAUGGUAAGACUUCCGCAAAAGUCUUCCAAUAGGUCUCUCCCUGCUGCCCCUCUCACCUUAGUGGUGAAGAGCAUGGAGGGAGUAUCUAACUAGGAUGCAUGGAGUGUGGAAGUGACUAACUAGGAUGCAUGGAGUAUGGGAGUGUCUAACUAGGAUGCAUGGAGUAUGGGAGUAUCUAACUAGGAUGUGUGGAGUAGGAUGCAUGGAGUAUGGGAGUAUCUAACUAGGAUGUGUGGAGUAGGAUGCGUGGAGUAUGGGAGUGCCUAACUAGGAUGCAUGGAGUAUGGGAGUAUCUAACUAGGAAGCGUGGAGUAUGGAAGUGACUAGGAUGCAUGGAGUAUGGAAGUGGAAGUGACUAGGAUGCAUGGAGUAUGGGAGUGUCUAACUAGGAUGCAUGGAGUAUGGGAGUGUCUAAUUAGGAUGCAUGGAGUAUGGGAGUGUCUAACUAGGAUGCGUGGAGUAUGGGAGUGCCUAACUAGGAUGCAUAGAGUAUGGAAGUGACUAACUGGGAUGCAUGGAGUAUGGGAAUGUCUAACUACGAUGAAUGGAGUAUGGGAGUAUCUAACUAGGAUGUAUGGAGUAUGGGAGUAUCUAACUAGGAUGCAUGGAGUAUGGGAAUGUCUAACUACGAUGAAUGGAGUAUGGGAGUAUCUAACUAGGAUGUAUGGAGUAUGGGAGUAUCUAACUAGGAUGCAUGGAGUAUGGGAAUGUCUAACUACGAUGUAUGGAGUAUGGCAGUAUCUAACUAGGAUGCAUGGAGUAUGGGAGUAUCUAACUAAGAUGCAUGGAGUAUGGGAGUAUCUAACUAGGAUGCAUGGAGUAUGGGAGUAUCUAACUAGGAUGCAUGGAGUAUGGGAGUAUCUAACUGGGAUGUGUGGAGUAUGGAAGUGACUAAGUAGGAUGCAUGGAGUAUGGGAAUGUCUAACUAGGAUGCAUGGAGUAUGGGAGUAUCUAACUAGGAUGCAUGGAGUAUGGGAGUAUCUAACUAGGAUGCAUGGAGUAUGGGAGUGUCUAACUAGGAUGCAUGGAGUAUGGGAGUAUUUAACUAGGAUGCAUGGAGUAUGGAAGUGACUACCUAGGAUGCAUGGAGUAUGGCAGUGUCUAACUAGGAUGUGUGGAGUAUGGAAGUGACUAACUAGGAUACAUGAAGUAUGGGAGUGUCUAACUAGGAUGCAUGGGGUUUGGGAGUAUCUAAUUUGGAUGUAUGGAGUAUAGAAGUAUCUAACUUGGGUUCAAAUCCCAGCUUAGUUUGAAUUUCCUCAUCAGUUAAAUAGGAAUAAUAGUUAA